This 335-nucleotide unclassified non-coding RNA is filed under the name soil metagenome. Its description in RNAcentral is "partial contains 5.8S ribosomal RNA, internal transcribed spacer 2, and large subunit ribosomal RNA". The stretch from base 1 to 120 matches the Rfam family "5.8S ribosomal RNA", at positions 35 to 154 of the family's 154-position model. The record is from RNAcentral.
GAUGAAGAACGUAGCGAAAUGCGAUAAGUAAUGUGAAUUGCAGAAUUCAGUGAAUCAUCGAAUCUUUGAACGCACAUUGCGCCCGCCAGUAUUCUGGCGGGCAUGCCUGUUCGAGCGUCAUUUCAACCAUCAAGCCCCCGGCUUGUGUUGGGGACCUGCGGCUGCCGCAGGCUCUGAAAACCAGUGGCGGGCUCGCUAGUCACUCCGAGCGUAGUAAUACAUCUCGCUCAGGGCGUGCUGCGGGUUCCGGCCGUUAAAAAGCCUUAUUUACCCAAGGUUGACCUCGGAUCAGGUAGGAAGACCCGCUGAACUUAAGCAUAUCAAUAAGCGGAGGA